Molecule: ribosomal RNA, 444 nt
Filed under: Triticum aestivum (bread wheat)
Lineage: Eukaryota; Viridiplantae; Streptophyta; Magnoliopsida; Poales; Poaceae
Description: partial small subunit ribosomal RNA
Source: RNAcentral
AUGGAAGCUAGGAGGGGAGGAGCAGGUGGAGUCGCAAGAACACAUUCAUCCUUUCUAGCUGCAUGGUGCAAACCUUAUCCGGGAAUCACUGAUCCUCUUAUAGCCGAGGCACUCGCUCUGCGAGAUGGUAUUCUCUUUGCUCAUCUACGAGGCUAUUCUGAGGUGGUUUUCGAGUCUGAUAAUUUGGAGAUUGUGAAUCUCUGGAAUACGCGUCACAAUGAUCGUGCGGUGGUGGCGCCUAUCUUGGCCGAGAUUAGGGAGCAUGUCAUUUAUUUUCAGUCUUUUAUAGUUCAGCAUAUAGGGAGAUCAGCUAAUGUUUCGGCUCACAUUUGUGCUAAACAAGCUAGCACCCUGGAUGUAACCGAAUGUUGGAUGGACUCCAUUCCGAGUCUUCUUGUAACCAGUCUCUUAGCUGAUUCAGCUGGAGCUGUUAAUGUUGAAUAA